Etheostoma cragini (Arkansas darter) is the source of this 98-nucleotide long non-coding RNA. RefSeq lists it as uncharacterized. The transcript is spliced from 3 exons. The record is from RefSeq and is a predicted model, not a curated record. Lineage: Eukaryota; Metazoa; Chordata; Actinopteri; Perciformes; Percidae.
CCACUGUACCAAACUGCUACCGAACCGUGAUGUCUGAACCGAGGUAUGAACCGAACCGUGACUUCUGUGUACCGCUCCACCCCUACUAGCAACUGAGG